Molecule: ribosomal RNA, 537 nt
Filed under: uncultured bacterium
Lineage: Bacteria
Description: bacterial SSU rRNA
Rfam family: Bacterial small subunit ribosomal RNA
Source: RNAcentral
GAUGAACGCUGGCGGCGUGCCUAACACAUGCAAGUCGAACGGACCUUGCUCAACAGAGGUACUUGUACCGAAGGAGAGCGCUGGUUAGUGGCGGACGGGUGAGUAACACGUGGGUAAUUAACCUUCCGGACCGGGAUAACAUCGGGAAACUGGUGCUAAUACCGGAUACGAUUCACGGGCGGCAUCGCCUGUGGAUGAAAAGAGGCCUCUCGAAGAAGCUCCUGCUGGAAGACAAGCCCGCGGCUGAUUAGCUAGUUGGUAAGGUAACGGCUUACCAAGGCAACGAUCAGUAGCCGGCCUGAGAGGGUGAACGGCCACACUGGGACUGAGACACGGCCCAGACUCCUACGGGAGGCAGCAGUGGGGAAUAUUGCGCAAUGGGGGGAACCCUGACGCAGCAACGCCGCGUGAAUGAAGAAGGCCUUCGGGUUGUAAACCGCUUUGUUCGGGAGAAAUACGUCCUCGCUAAUACCGGGGCGGAUGACGGUACCGGAAGAAGUAAGACACCGGCUAACUACGUGCCAGCAGCCGCGGUAA